Suricata suricatta (meerkat) is the source of this 2053-nucleotide long non-coding RNA. RefSeq lists it as uncharacterized. The transcript has 2 exons. The record is from RefSeq and is a predicted model, not a curated record. NCBI's taxonomy places the organism in Eukaryota, Metazoa, Chordata, Mammalia, Carnivora, Herpestidae.
CAGAAAUCAAGAGUUGGAUGCUUGACCAACUGAGCCACCCAGGCACCCCAGACUCCUUAUUUUAAAAUGAGGCAGACACAAUUUAUUCAGUUCAAAACCACUUGUGAUCUAGUAAGAGAAAUGAGAGGAAUUCACAACUAAGAGUAAAAUAAUGUGGAACCUGAAAAGUGCCUUGGAAGGUGUUCAGAGUGUCUUCUGACACUGGACAGACACAAACUCCACGUCCCUCUAGUCCUCCCAGUUCCUGAUACUGCAGAAGAUGCAUUCGUGGGUGCACCAAAAGCCACGGACCAGAAUGUUCACAGCAGCACUGGAAAGUGGCCAAAUGCCCAUCAACAGUGCAGUGAAGAAUGAGCCAUGAUAAUAGUCACACGACGCGAUACAAUACAGCAACGAGAAUGAACGGUACAGUGAGUCCCACAAACAACCCUGAGGAAACAUGAACGAAGCAAGAGUACUCUUGGAUUCCAUCCAGAGGAAUAGAAACAGGGUGAACUAAGCCAUACAGCUGGAAGUCUGGACGGUGGCUACCCUUGGGAAGGAAGAGGUCCUGGAUGGAUUGGGAUUUAGAGACAGGAACUGGGCUUUGCCCCCAGGUGGUUGGGAGAAAGCAUGGAACUGGAGGCUGAAUCUGAGAGGCUGUCCUCCGGUCCCCACCGGUCUGGCCGGGAUGUCCUGUGUGCUCAGCAAGCUGGGAGCUUCCUGCCUUGCCUGGGGCCCUUCUGUCCCGAUACCCCAGCUGACGAGAACACCCUGCCAUAGCCCUGGGCGGGGCUCCACGGAUGGAUCAUUUCACUCCCCCAGACCUGACUCUGCCUACUGGCAACGGAAUCCACAGCUCGCUGACAACCCUGUGUGUGCGAAGUAGGGGGACCAUUGGAGCGUGCAGUGGCACCCCCCUGAAUAUGUGCCUGCAGAGGGGCAUUGCCUCGGCUGCUCUUUUCCCAGGAGGAGGGGUUCCUGGCAGUGGCGGCUAGGUUGCCCUCCCUGAGGAUCCCCCAGCUGAUCGGAAGCAGCGGGAUGCCCUCACGUCUCUGCUAAGUGCUGUUUCCCAAGCCGUGAUCAUCUGAACAUGCUGGAGAGGAAGGGGCAGGCUUCUCUUCCUGGGGUUCCCUAUGUGAGCAUACGUGAUUCAAAUAAAAUAAUAAAAUAAAAUGCAAUUAAAAAAAAAAGAAAAAAAGAUGCUUUGUCCAGACCCUUGGUUGCACGUGAGAGAAAACCAAACCCCAAGUGGUGUAAAAGGGAAUUCAGUCAUGUAACUGAAAACUUCAAGUCACAAUCAUUAUAUAUUGUCACGAGCAUUUCUUCAGAUAGGUCACAGUCAUCUGUGCUUGUAGAAAGGAUGGUACCCAGAGCCCUUGAGGACAAGGCACGCUGAUCUCCUGGGCAGUUGCAUGUUUUACCUCCCCUAGUAGACAUGGAUUGCCUCCUUUACGCAGCACCUUACUCCCUCUCUCAUGGGAACAUUUCCCUCACCUCCCACUCCCCGUUUGCUCAUCCUGCUCCCAUUCUGUCUCCUGUUUUGGGUGGAGCAGACUUUAUCCCACGCUCCAGAAGUAGGCAUGUGGUCCAAGUAUGGCCAAUCAGAACAUUGUGUAAACUCCCCGCCACAGGGAUUGGGUCCAUGCUGGGCAUGUGACCCAAACCAAGCUGAUCAGGUCUAGCUGGAGUGAACCUUGCCUGUUGGCUUGUGUGGUCAGAGCAGAGAAUGGUCUCCUUUUCACCAGACUUUGAGGUGUUGGCAGCCAUCUUGCAACCAUGAGGCAGAGCUGGUCUGAGAUUAACACCACCACGGGUGGAAACAACAGGAGGUAGAAGCCAGGUCCUGAUGCUGUUGAUCCCACUUCCCGGAUCCACGUGUGUCUGAAGCAAGGCUACCUCUGGGUGAACAAAUAACUGCUCUUAAGCUCCUUUUUUGCACCAGUUGAGGCUGGGUCUUUGUCACAUGCAACCAAAAGCAUCUUGACUAAGCGUCUCAAUUUUAUAUUUUAAUUACUUUUCUGAAGUGUGAUCCCAUGUCAUUUCCUCCUUAAAUAAAGGAUGCUCGAUAUAA